Molecule: ribosomal RNA, 468 nt
Filed under: uncultured bacterium
Lineage: Bacteria
Description: partial 16S ribosomal RNA
Rfam family: Bacterial small subunit ribosomal RNA
Source: RNAcentral
GACGAACGCUGGCGGCGUGCUUAACACAUGCAAGUCGAACGGAAAGGCCCUGCUUUUGUGGGGUGCUCGAGUGGCGAACGGGUGAGUAACACGUGAGUAACCUGCCCUUGACUUUGGGAUAACUUCAGGAAACUGGGGCUAAUACCGGAUAGGAGCUCCUGCUGCAUGGUGGGGGUUGGAAAGUUUCGGCGGUUGGGGAUGGACUCGCGGCUUAUCAGCUUGUUGGUGGGGUAGUGGCUUACCAAGGCUUUGACGGGUCGCCGGCCUGAGAGGGUGACCGGCCACAUUGGGACUGAGAUACGGCCCAGACUCCUACGGGAGGCAGCAGUGGGGAAUAUUGCACAAUGGGCGGAAGCCUGAUGCAGCAACGCCGCGUGCGGGAUGACGGCCUUCGGGUUGUAAACCGCUUUCGCCUGUGACGCAGCGUGAGUGACGGUAAUGGGUAAAGAAGCACCGGCUAACUACGUG